Molecule: ribosomal RNA, 108 nt
Filed under: Acanthosepion pharaonis
Lineage: Eukaryota; Metazoa; Mollusca; Cephalopoda; Sepiida; Sepiidae
Source: RNAcentral
GGGCAUAUAACGUUGAAACACAGAUUCUCGUACGAUCACCGAAGUUAAGCAGCGUCAAGCCUUGUCAGUACCUAGAUGGGUGACCGUUUGGGAAUACCGAGUGCUGAA